UCUCUACUCGCAUUCGCAACCGGAUGAGAAGAUGGAGAGGGGAAUGCGAGAGAAAGGUUGAGGGAUUCCGGUGUAUAGUUACCAUGAAAAAGCACGAGCAAAGAGUCGACGAAAACGGUGCUACAAAACCGAAUACUAAAUGUCUACUGUUCUCUCUCAUUCUCAACGGAUUUUUGGAUGCCAGACGUUUGCUCUGUACACCCGCAUACCUGUCUACUUGGUCGUGUUUGAAACAGAAUAUAGAUGAAGGUUUUCAACGAGAAAAGACAGAUUGUAAAACGAUAAAAGUUAUUUGAAAGACAGAAUAGCAAUCACUGGAUUUUCGUUAGAUGGUUCAUGUACUCUAACGAUUUCAAUCUCAAAAUUAUGGGCAGCUAUUCUACACUUUCAACUAAUAAAUUCAAGAUUUUUAUUUUUAUUGUGAGAAAAAAUGAUGGAAUAUUCAUCAAAG
This is a long non-coding RNA of Chelonus insularis, 451 nucleotides long. RefSeq lists it as uncharacterized. The transcript has 4 exons. Lineage: Eukaryota; Metazoa; Arthropoda; Insecta; Hymenoptera; Braconidae. The record is from RefSeq and is a predicted model, not a curated record.